UACGGAAGGGGCAAGCGUUGUUCGGAAUUAUUGGGCGUAAAGGGCGUGUAGGCGGCUUCGCAGGUCUGUGGUGAAAGCAUACAGCUCAACUGUAUUGAGCCGUGGAAACGGCGGAGCUUGAGGCUGGGAGGGGCUGGUGGAAUUCCCUGUGUAGCGGUGAAAUGCGUAGAUAUUGGGAAGAACACCGGUGGCGAAGGCGGCCAUCUGGACCGGUACUGACGCUGAGGCGCGAAAGCUAGGGGAGCGAAUGGG
This 252-nucleotide ribosomal RNA is filed under the name uncultured bacterium. RNAcentral describes it as "partial 16S ribosomal RNA". It matches the Rfam family "Bacterial small subunit ribosomal RNA", at positions 524 to 776 of the family's 1533-position model. The record is from RNAcentral.